GGGUGAAGAAGGCCUUCGGGUUGUAAAGCCCUUUUGUUGGGAAAGAAAUCCAGCUGGUUAAUACCCGGUUGGGAUGACGGUACCCAAAGAAUAAGCACCGGCUAACUUCGUGCCAGCAGCCGCGGUAAUACGAAGGGUGCAAGCGUUACUCGGAAUUACUGGGCGUAAAGCGUGCGUAGGUGGUCGUUUAAGUCCGUUGUGAAAGCCCUGGGCUCAACCUGGGAACUGCAGUGGAUACUGGACGACUAGAGUGUGGUAGAGGGUAGCGGAAUUCCUGGUGUAGCAGUGAAAUGCGUAGAGAUCAGGAGGAACAUCCAUGGCGAAGGCAGCUACCUGGACCAACACUGACACUGAGGCACGAAAGCGUGGGGAGCAAACAGGAUUAGAUACCCUGGUAGUCCACGCCCUAAACGAUGCGAACUGGAUGUUGGGUGCAAUUUGGCACGCAGUAUCGAAGCUAACGCGUUAAGUUCGCCGCCUGGGGAG
Molecule: ribosomal RNA, 486 nt
Filed under: uncultured bacterium
Lineage: Bacteria
Description: bacterial SSU rRNA
Rfam family: Bacterial small subunit ribosomal RNA
Source: RNAcentral